CAGUUAUUCAUCAUCAACUAUAACAUCUUCCACAGCAACAUCAACAGUUACAGACAGACACUAGCAGUCAUUCACCAUCAACUGUCAUAUUAUUUAUACCAGUCAGUGUCUGAGAGGUCAUAUUAUUUAUACCAGUCAGUGUCUGAGAGGUCAUAUUAUUUAUACCAGUCAGUGUCUGAGAGGUCAUAUUAUUUAUACCAGUCAGUGUCUGAGAGGUCAUAUUAUUUAUACCAGUCAGUGUCUGAGAGGUCAUAUUAUUUAUACCAGUCAGUGUCUGAGAGGUCAUAUUAUUUAUACCAGUCAGUGUCUGAGAGGUCAUAUUAUUUAUACCAGUCAGUGUCUGAGAGGUCAUAUUAUUCAUACCAGUCAGUGUCUGAGAGGUCAUAUUAUUCAUACCAGUCAGUGUCUGAGAGGUCAUUUUAUUUAUACCAGUCAGUGUCUGAGAGGUCAUAUUAUUUAUACCAGUCAGUGUCUGAGAGGUCAUAUUAUUUAUACCAGUCAGUGUCUGAGAGGUCAUAUUAUUUAUACCAGUCAGUGUCUGAGAGGUCAUAUUAUUUAUACCAGUCAGUGUCUGAGAGGUCAUAUUAUUUAUACCAGUCAGUGUCUGAGAGGUCAUAUUAUUUAUACCAGUCAGUGUCUGAGAGGUCAUAUUAUUUAUACCAGUCAGUGUCUGAGAGGUCAUAUUAUUUAUACCAGUCAGUGUCUGAGAGGUCAUAUUAUUUAUACCAGUCAGUGUCUGAGAGGUCAUAUUAUUUAUACCAGUCAGUGUCUGAGAGGUCAUAUUAUUUAUAUCAGUCAGUGUCUGAGAGGUCAUAUUAUUUAUACCAGUCAGUGUCUGAGAGGUCAUAUUAUUCAUACCAGUCAGUGUCUGAGAGGUCAUAUUAUUCAUACCAGUCAGUGUCUGAGAGGUCAUAUUAUUUAUACCAGUCAGUGUCUGAGAGGUCAUAUUAUUUAUACCAGUCAGUGUCUGAGAGGUCAUAUUAUUUAUACCAGUCAGUGUCUGAGAGGUCAUAUUAUUUAUACCAGUCAGUGUCUGAGAGGUCAUAUUAUUUAUACCAGUCAGUGUCUGAGAGGUCAUAUUAUUUAUACCAGUCAGUGUCUGAGAGGUCAUAUUAUUUAUAUCAGUCAGUGUCUGAGAGGUCAUAUUAUUUAUACCAGUCAGUGAGAGGUCAUUAUUUAUACCAGUCAGUGAGAGGUCAUAUUAUUUAUACCAGUCAGUGAGAGGUCAUAUUAUUUAUACCAGUCAGUGAGAUCAUAUUAUUUAUACCAGUCAGUGUCUGAGAGGUCAUUAUUUAUACCAGUCAGAGAGAGGUCAUAGUAUUCAUACCAGUCAGAGAGAGGUCAUAUUAUUUAUACCAGUCAGUGAGAGGUCAUAUUAUUUAUACCAGUCAGUGAGAGGUCAUAUUAUUUAUACCAGUCAGUGAGAGGUCAUAUUAUUUAUACCAGUCAGUGUCUGAGAGGUCAUAUUAUUUAUACCAGUCAGUGUCUGAGAGGUCAUAUUAUUUAUACCAGUCAGUGUCUGAGAGGUCAUAUUAUUUAUACCAGUCAGAGAGGUCAUAUUAUUUAUACCAGUCAGUGAGAGGUCAUAUUAUUCAUACCAGUCAGUGAGAGGUCAUAUUAUUUAUACCAGUCAGAGAGAGGUCAUAUUAUUUAUACCAGUCAGUGAGACGUCAUAUUAUUUAUACCAGUCAGAGAGAGGUCAUAUUAUUUAUACCAGUCAGUGACUGAGAGGUCAUAUUAUUUAUACCAGUCAGUGACUGAGAGGUCAUAUUAUUUAUACCAGUCAGUGACUGAGAGGUCAUAUUAUUUAUACCAGUCAGUGAGAGGUCAUAUUAUUUAUACCAGUCAGUGUCUGAGAGGUCAUAUUAUUUAUACCAGUCAGUGACUGAGAGGUCAUAUUAUUUAUACCAGUCAGUGUCUGAGAGGUCAUAUUAUUUAUACCAGUCAGUGAGAGGUCAUAUUAUUUAUACCAGUCAGUGAGAGGUCAUAUUAUUUAUACCAGUCAGUGAGACGUCAUAUUAUUUAUACCAGUCAGUGUCUGAGAGGUCAUAUUAUUUAUACCAGUCAGUGUCUGAGAGGUCAUAUUAUUUAUACCAGUCAGUGAGAGGUCAUAUUAUUUAUACCAGUCAGUGUCUGAGAGGUCAUAUUAUUUAUACCAGUCAGUGAGAGGUCAUAUUAUUUAUACCAGUCAGUGAGAGGUCAUAUUAUUUAUACCAGUCAGAGAGGUCAUAUUAUUUAUACCAGUCAGUGAGAGGUCAUAUUAUUUAUACCAGUCAGUGUCUGAGAGGUCAUAUUAUUUAUACCAGUCAGUGUCUGAGAGGUCAUAUUAUUUAUACCAGUCAGUGUCUGAGAGAUCAUAUUAUUUAUACCAGUCAGAGAGAGGUCAUAUUAUUUAUACCAGUAAGAGAGAGGUCAUAUUAUUUAUACCAGUCAGUGUCUGAGAGAAUGGAUGUAGACUAGACUGUGUGCUCAGCACGGCUCUAAGAUGAAGUAGCCUAUCAGGUGGAGAUAUAUACAGUGGUAUGCUACUCUACAAGGACAGUCUCCUAUCAGUGCCAGAGUUUGACCAACCCUCACCAUGAGCAUUUAUUCAUCCCCCGCCACCCCUUCUCAUAUCACUAUGGUAACCCUGGGGUCCAUCCCACCACUAGACCUUGGUUUCCCACCCCCCCUGUUGGGAACCAACCAAACAUUCACCCAAUAUGUAAUAUUCAAGUAAACGUAUGCUUUUUGUUCAACAGUCGGUACACUGCAAGUUUCACUGUGUAAACGGUGUCUGGUUGCCUAACAAGGACAUGGGUGCCAGGCUGAAACCGUUGUUCACUUGUGAGAUGACUAUCCUUCAGGGCCUAGCUCGCUGGUUCAAAGGUUACUCUAGGCCAGCGCUUCUCAUUUAGUUAGUUAUCAGUUUGUUUGCAUUACCAGCUCGUCACAAAUUCUUUGUGAGGGAAGCAGUUAUUACAGGCCAAAUGUCAAGUGCCGCCAUAGUCUUAUCUAGGGCAAGAUAACGCUGCUGUCAGACAGACAGAGUAACGCCUGUUUUUAUCUAGUCUGAAUAACUUAUUAAUAAUGUACGAAAAUGAAAUAUGAAAAUGUACCCACUCACUACUUACUGUAAGCCGCUCUGGAAAAGAGUGUCUGCUAAAUGACACAGAUAUCAAAUGUAGCAGAGUAGCUACGAGUGAUUGACAAAACCCACUGACGCCUGUGCAGCUAUUGCCGACACUACUGCUGUGUGUAGUCCUGCUCUUGGGCAAUAGUAUAUUGUGGUUGUAGGGGGUUAAAUGGUGAUUACCAGGGGCAUUGCCUGUGUAAAUGUAUGGUAUUAAACACAACUGAGGGCGACAUGUACAACACUGGGAGACUAACUUAACUAGAGGGACAUUUUACUGUAACUUCCUGGAGCCUUCUCUCUCGCUCUCAAACAUUAACAUUGAUUAAAUACUUUAUUUAUUUAAUAACCACAGCAACUAGCUAACUAGUUACCAUUAUUAACUAACGCUAGCUAAAUUGUGACGCCCCCUCCUCUCUAUAGUUAGUUAGCGAACAUGCAUAUGUUCUGGUACUCACGAUUACCAGCUUGUUGUUAAGAUAGUUUAGCAGAAUUAGCAUAUGGAUAGUUUACAAGACUCUCCUUACCUUGAAAUGCCUCCUCUGCCCAGUCCAAAAGGGGGUUGCUGAUGGCAGACCGAGUCAACAACAGACAAUGGUAACGCUAGCUGCUGCCUGUGCCACUCGGUAACCUCCUCCCGAACAGAGCCAGCUAGCGGUGCUAACGUCAAAGCUAGCUGACGGUAACUAGCAGCCCGUUUGUUGUGAGCGACCCAGAUCACUAUGCCGCAUAGUGUAAAACUAGCUACACUUAGAUUUGGAUUUGGUUGUUUCUGGUCGUUGUGAAAGCACGUUUCUAUGUUAUUCUGAACGAUAUAUAAAACGGUGUUUGUUUGUUUUUUUCCAAGGGGGCUGGACUCGUUGUUGCUGGGAGGAGAGAUUCGGGUCAAAGAAACGACACACCGGCCGUGACGUCACGCAGAACAGCAACUGCCUUCCCCAUAAAUAGUAU
This 4063-nucleotide long non-coding RNA is filed under the name Oncorhynchus mykiss (rainbow trout). RNAcentral's name for it is "lncRNA (ENSOMYG00000076163.1)". Lineage: Eukaryota; Metazoa; Chordata; Actinopteri; Salmoniformes; Salmonidae. The record is from RNAcentral.